This 496-nucleotide ribosomal RNA is filed under the name uncultured bacterium. RNAcentral describes it as "partial 16S ribosomal RNA". It matches the Rfam family "Bacterial small subunit ribosomal RNA", at positions 28 to 506 of the family's 1533-position model. The record is from RNAcentral.
GAUGAACGCUGGCGGCGUGCCUAAUACAUGCAAGUCGAGCGAACAGACGAGGAGCUUGCUCCUCUGACGUUAGCGGCGGACGGGUGAGUAACACGUGGAUAACCUACCUAUAAGACUGGGAUAACUUCGGGAAACCGGAGCUAAUACCGGAUAAUAUAUUGAACCGCAUGGUUCAAUAGUGAAAGACGGUUUUGCUGUCACUUAUAGAUGGAUCCGCGCCGCAUUAGCUAGUUGGUAAGGUAACGGCUUACCAAGGCAACGAUGCGUAGCCGACCUGAGAGGAGGAGCAGACACAGUGGAAAUGAGAGACGGUACAGACUCAGAGGGGAGGCAGCAGUGGGGAAUAGUGGAAAAGGGGCGAAAGCAUGAUGCAGAGAUGCCGAGUGUGUGAAGAAGGUCUUCGGAUUGUAAAGCACGUUAAGUUGGGAGGAAGGGAAGUAAGUUAAUACCGUGCUGUUUUGACGUUAACAACAGAAUAAGCACCGGCGAACUGCGU